GUCUAUGGCCAUACCACCCUGAAUGCACCUGAUCUCAUCCAAUAUUCUAAGCUAAGCAGGGUCAGUCCUGAUUAGUACCUGGAUGGGAAACCACCUGGGAAUAUCAGGUGCUGUAGGAU
Molecule: ribosomal RNA, 119 nt
Organism: Nomascus leucogenys (northern white-cheeked gibbon)
Lineage: Eukaryota; Metazoa; Chordata; Mammalia; Primates; Hylobatidae
Source: Ensembl